UACGAAGGGGGCUAGCGUUGUUCGGAAUUACUGGGCGUAAAGGGCGCGUAGGCGGCCCUCUAAGUCGAACGUGAAAUCCCUGGGCUCAACCCAGGAACUGCGUCCGAGACUGGGGGGCUAGAAUCCGGGAGAGGGAUGUGGAAUUCCAGGUGUAGCGGUGAAAUGCGUAGAUAUCGGGAGGAACACCAGUGGCGAAGGCGACUACCUGGCCUGUUCUUGACGCUGAGGCGCGAAAGCUAGGGGAGCAAACGGG
Molecule: ribosomal RNA, 253 nt
Filed under: uncultured bacterium
Lineage: Bacteria
Description: partial 16S ribosomal RNA
Rfam family: Bacterial small subunit ribosomal RNA
Source: RNAcentral